This 301-nucleotide ribosomal RNA is filed under the name uncultured bacterium. RNAcentral's name for it is "partial 16S ribosomal RNA". It matches the Rfam family "Bacterial small subunit ribosomal RNA", at positions 509 to 808 of the family's 1533-position model. The record is from RNAcentral.
CAGCCGCCGCGGUAAAACGUAGGGGGCGAGCGUUGUCCGAAGUUACUGGGCGUAAAGCGCGCGUAGGCGGCUUCUUAAGUCUGAGGUGAAAGGUUCAACGCUUAACGUGAACAGUGCCUUGGAUACUGGGGAGCUUGAGUAUGGGAGAGGGCAGUGGAAUGGCUGGUGUAGCGGUGAAAUGCGUAGAUAUCAGUCGGAACACCCAUGGCGAAGGCAGCUGCCUGGCCUAAUACUGACGCUGAGGUGCGAAAGCGUGGGGAGCGAACGGGAUUAGAUACCCGCGUAGUCCCUGUCUCUUAUA